UACAGAGGGUGCAAGCGUUUGUUCGGAAUUAUUGGGCGUAAAGCGCGUGUAGGCGGCUUUGCAAGUCGGGUGUGAAAGCCCUCAGCUCAACUGAGGAAGUGCGCCCGAAACUGCAGAGCUUUGAGUACCGGAGAGGAUGGUGGAAUUCCCAAGUAGAGGUGAAAUUCGUAGAUAUGGGGAGGAACACCGGUGGCGAAGGCGACCAUCUGGACGGAUACUGACGCUGAGACGCGAAAGCGUGGGGAGCAAACAGG
RNAcentral lists this ribosomal RNA (254 nucleotides) under uncultured bacterium. RNAcentral describes it as "partial 16S ribosomal RNA". It matches the Rfam family "Bacterial small subunit ribosomal RNA", at positions 524 to 776 of the family's 1533-position model. The record is from RNAcentral.